GUGACGACUCGCUGUCAAUGUGUCACAUGACCAAAACAGUGUAGAGGUAAGAAGCAGCAGUUAGCCUUAAUGUUAUCUACAGAGAAAUGCCGCAGAAAGAUCCUUGUCAAAAGCAGGCAUGCGCCAUCCAGAAGUGUUUGCAAGCUAAUAAGUACAUGGAGAGUAUGUGCGAGGAGGUGAUCCAAAACAUGCGGCGGUGCUGUGAAGUCCACAGGGGAAACUCGACCUGCUGCUCCGGUUUUAAGGACUCCAAACCGACUGAAAACAAGAACGAAACAUAAAUCACCCGUUCUCCUUUAAGUAGUGGUAGAAAGCUCCACUACAACAAUACAGCAGACCUCAAACAAGGCGAUGCACACAGAAGGAAUCCUUUGUGUCUCACUUCUUGCUGGUGGUUAGCUCCAGCAGUUUGUGGGCGAAAGGCAGGGUUCAACCUGGACAGACAGCCAGUCCAUCACUGGGCAACAAAGAGAGACACAUGUGCACACUUAUACCCGAUGUAAAUGUAGACAGACUGAAUAAUCUAACAGUUAUGUUUAUUGUACUGUAGGAGGAAGCUGGAGUACCCAGAGAGAACCAGUGAAUACACGAAAGACCAUGCAGAAAGACACAAGACAGGGAUUUGAACCCAAGACCUUCAUAUCCCUACUUUAUUGUUAGGAUUCUGGAAUUUCUGCAGCAUUUUAAAAAAAUUAUAAGGAAGAUAUGGGGGGAAUUUUUUUGGCCUUUUAAAUGCUCAUUUGUAACCAAAACAAAAUACAUUCUGUUGUCUUGCCAAACUA
Molecule: RNA transcript, 782 nt
Organism: Gambusia affinis (western mosquitofish)
Lineage: Eukaryota; Metazoa; Chordata; Actinopteri; Cyprinodontiformes; Poeciliidae
Gene: cmc4
Gene name: C-x(9)-C motif containing 4 homolog (S. cerevisiae)
Exons: 4
Source: RefSeq, a predicted model, not a curated record